RNAcentral lists this ribosomal RNA (257 nucleotides) under uncultured bacterium. RNAcentral's name for it is "partial 16S ribosomal RNA". It matches the Rfam family "Bacterial small subunit ribosomal RNA", at positions 793 to 1050 of the family's 1533-position model. The record is from RNAcentral.
GUCCACGCCGUAAACGGUGGGCGCUAGGUGUGGGGACCAUUCCACGGUUUCCGCGCCGCAGCUAACGCAUUAAGCGCCCCGCCUGGGGAGUACGGCCGCAAGGCUAAAACUCAAAGGAAUUGACGGGGGCCCGCACAAGCGGCGGAGCAUGCGGCUUAAUUCGAUGCAACGCGAAGAACCUUACCUGGGCUUGACAUAUGGGGAAAACCGGCAGAGAUGUCGGGUCCGCAAGGGCCUCAUACAGGUGGUGCAUGGCU